Molecule: ribosomal RNA, 253 nt
Filed under: uncultured bacterium
Lineage: Bacteria
Description: partial 16S ribosomal RNA
Rfam family: Bacterial small subunit ribosomal RNA
Source: RNAcentral
UACGUAGGUGGCAAGCGUUAUCCGGAUUUACUGGGUGUAAAGGGCGUGUAGGCGGGAGAGCAAGUCAGACGUGAAAUUCCAGGGCUCAACCCUGGAACUGCGUUUGAAACUGUUCUUCUUGAGUGAUGGAGAGGCAGGCGGAAUUCCGUGUGUAGCGGUGAAAUGCGUAGAUAUACGGAGGAACACCAGUGGCGAAGGCGGCCUACUGGACAUUAACUAACGCUGAGGCGCGAAAGCGUGGGGAGCAAACAGG